This 278-nucleotide ribosomal RNA is filed under the name uncultured bacterium. RNAcentral describes it as "partial 16S ribosomal RNA". It matches the Rfam family "Bacterial small subunit ribosomal RNA", at positions 29 to 334 of the family's 1533-position model. The record is from RNAcentral.
AACGAACGCUGGCGGCAUGCCUAACACAUGCAAGUCGAACGAGACCUUCGGGUCUAGUGGCGCACGGGUGCGUAACGCGUGGGAAUCUGCCCUUGGGUUCGGAAUAACUCGCCGAAAGGCGUGCUAAUACCGGAUGAUGUCGUAAGACCAAAGAUUUAUCGCCCAGGGAUGAGCCCGCGUAAGAUUAGGUAGUUGGUGAGGUAAAGGCUCACCAAGCCGACGAUCUUUAGCUGGUCUGAGAGGAUGAUCGGCCACACUGGAACUGAGACACGGUCCAG